RNAcentral lists this ribosomal RNA (523 nucleotides) under uncultured Ascomycota. Its description in RNAcentral is "partial 18S ribosomal RNA". The stretch from base 140 to 293 matches the Rfam family "5.8S ribosomal RNA". Lineage: Eukaryota; Fungi; Ascomycota. The record is from RNAcentral.
CGUGUUUAUUUACCUUGUUGCUUCGGCGGGCCCGCCUCACGGCCGCCGGGGGGCAUCUGCCCCCGGGCCCGCGCCCGCCGAAGACACCAUUGAACUCUGUCUGAAGAUUGCAGUCUGAGCGAUUAACUAAAUCAGUUAAAACUUUCAACAACGGAUCUCUUGGUUCCGGCGUCGAUGAAGAACGCAGCGAAGUGCGAUACGUAAUGUGAAUUGCAGAAUUCAGUGAAUCAUCGAGUCUUUGAACGCACAUUGCGCCCCCUGGUAUUCCGGGGGGCGUGCCUGUCCGAGCGUCAUUGCUGCCCUCAAGCACGGCUUGUGUGUUGGGCCCCGCCCCCCGGUCCCGGGGGGCGGGCCCGAAAGGCAGAGGCGGCUUCGCGACCGGUCCUCUAGAGUAUGGGGCUUUGUCACACGCUCCUCUAUGCCCGGCCGGCGCCGGUGGCUACCGCCGAUGAAUCUAUCGGGGUUGAUCUCGGAUCAGGUGGGGAUACCCGCGUGAACUUAAGCAUAUCAGGAAGCUGGACGA